CGCUUCAAAAGCUCUAUAGUUGUAGCGACCGAGGAAUGCAGUGUGUUUUUAUCCCUCGGGAUUUAGGGCGGUUUGUAGGGAUGCAUUUGUGGGGUUAUCUUUGGGGCUAGACAGCUUUGCUGACUAGUUCUGGUGCUCCAUAUGUACGCCUUGCAAGCUGACCAAGAAGCACUUUGGAUGUUGGCGAAAAGGCAUCAAUCGACCCGUCUUGAAACACGGACCAAGGAGUCCAACAUGCAUGCGAGUAUUUGGGAAAAGAUAAACCCAUGUGCGUAAUGAAAGUGAAUUUUAUUUAGAAUGUGACCUGCUUUAUUGUGGGGCAACAUCAACCGACUUUAGAUAGCGCUGCUUGAAAAGGUUGAGUAAGAGCAUGUAUGCUGGGACCCGAAAGAUGGUGAACUAUGCCUGAAUAGGGUGAAGUCAGAGGAAACUCUGAUGGAAGCUCGUAGAGAUUCUGACGUGCAAAUCGAUCUCAAAAUUUGGGUAUAGGGGCGAAAGACUAAUCGAACCAUCUAGUAGCUGGUUCCUGCCGAAGUUUCCCUCAGGAUAGCAGAGACUGGAAUAUAAUUUAAAGCAGUUUUAUGAGGUAAAGCGAAUGAUUAGAGGCCUUGGGGAUGUAACAUCCUUAACCUAUUCUCAAACUUUAAAUGCGUAAGAAGCUCCAGUUACUUGAUUGAACUGGUGGCCAAUUUCGAAUGCAUCAGUCUCUAGUGGGCCAUUUUUGGUAAGCAGAACUGGCGAUGCGGGAUGAACCGAACGUAGAGUUAAGGUGCCUAAAUUCACGCUCAUGUAGACACCAUAAAAGGUGUUAGUUCAUCUAGACAGCAGGGCGGUGGCCAUGGAAGUCGGAAUCCGCUAAGGAGUGUGUAACAACUCACCUGCCGAAUGAACUAGCCCUGAAAAUGGAUGGCGCUCAAGCGUGAUACCGAUACUCUACCGCCAAAAUUAUAAGAACGUUUUGGCGAGUAGGCAGGCGUGGGGGUUCGUAGCGAAGCUGUGGGCGUAAGCUCCAGUGGAACAACCUCUAGUGCAGAUCUUGGUGGUAGUAGCAAGUAUUCAAAUGAGAACUUUGAAGACUGAAGUGGGGAAAGGUUCCGAGUGAACAGCAGUUGGACUCGGGUUAGUCGAUUCUAAGAGAUAGGGUAGUUCCGUUUUAAAGUAGCGAGCAAUUACGAUAUUUGACUUUUACUCUCGGGUAGAUUUUGACUUUUUUGCUCCACCUAUCGAAAGAGAAACCGGUUAAUAUUCCGGUACCAGGAUUGUGGGUGAUGUAUUGCGGCAACGCAAAUGAACUUGGAGACGCCAGCAAGAACCCUGGAAAGAGUUUUCUUUUCUUUUUAACAGCUGUAUUAAAAAUUUUUUCUGCGAAAGCAGGAAAGAGGACCCUGGAAUCAGAUUAUCUGGAGAAAGGGUUCAAAAGCUGGUAAAGCAGGUCAUUUUUUUGACUUGUCCGGAGUGUUCUUGAUGGCCCUUGAAAAUCCAAGGGAAAUAAUCAGCUUCACGC
RNAcentral lists this non-coding RNA (1504 nucleotides) under Smittium culicis. Its description in RNAcentral is "Eukaryotic large subunit ribosomal RNA". It matches the Rfam family "Eukaryotic large subunit ribosomal RNA", at positions 459 to 1837 of the family's 3401-position model. Lineage: Eukaryota; Fungi; Kickxellomycota; Harpellomycetes; Harpellales; Legeriomycetaceae. The record is from Rfam by way of RNAcentral.